Sebastes umbrosus (honeycomb rockfish) is the source of this 6271-nucleotide RNA transcript. It is a transcript of the gene named sema domain, seven thrombospondin repeats (type 1 and type 1-like), transmembrane domain (TM) and short cytoplasmic domain, (semaphorin) 5A, with no coding region annotated. The transcript has 23 exons. NCBI's taxonomy places the organism in Eukaryota, Metazoa, Chordata, Actinopteri, Perciformes, Sebastidae. The record is from RefSeq and is a predicted model, not a curated record.
GGUGAGAUGCGCAGCUGUGACUGACUGACUGAGCAUCGGACACAUCAACCCACCUCCACUUGGCUUUUUUUUUUGUGUGUGCACUUGUAAGCUCUGACUGUUUUUUUUUAGUUGAAGGACAGUUUUUUUUGCUUUUUGGCACCCCCUCCUUUAAAGAGCGGAGGCACAUUGUCUGUGGCGCAGCGCGGCGACAGCUCGGUGUCCGGUUACAAACCGAGGAGCCACCGUGCACAGAGCGCUUCUCUGUGGGGCAGAAAUAGCACACAGUGCUCCGGAGGGACGAGAGAGAGAGCACAGAGAGGAAUCUCUGCGGAGACAAGAAGGAGUUUUUUACCGAGACGCAGCAGAACGGAGGAUAUAUCAUCUUUUCUUUUUGGUUUUCUCCAGCACCGUAUAGCACUCUUCUUCUCACCGGGACAAGACAACGCAGCUUCGCUCUCUGCUAGAUGAACCGGUGUUGGGCACCUCACUUGGUGUGUCUCUCCAAUGCUCUUGGGCCCCUGAGGCCUGAGGAGAAGUGAGCCAAGCCAAGGAACCCCCGCAUGGGACGCCCUGUUUCCCAGCAUGCACUGCUGCUGCUGCAGUGCAUGCUGGUCCUGCGGCCCGGAGGAGGAGCGGCUGGUAGGAGAGGGCCAGUGCUGCUGCCUGAAUCGCCCUGUCACAAGACAGAGCACCCGCUCGUCCCACACUCAGAGAUGGAGCCGUGGAUCUUCAGGUUCAAGGCGGAGGGCACGGUGGAUUACUCACAGCUGACCUUCGACCCCGGCCAGAACGAACUGAUCGUCGGUGCCAGAAAUCACCUCUUCAGGCUCAAUCUGGAAGACCUGACACUGAUCCAGGAGGCUGAGUGGCACUGCGAUGAGUUUACCAAGGGAGCCUGCUUCAGCCGCGGAAAGUCUGAGGAGGAGUGCCAGAACUACAUCAGGGUGCUGCUGGUGAACGGGAACAGGCUGUUUACCUGUGGAACCAACGCCUUCACCCCCAUCUGCACCAACCGAACGCUGACAAAUUUGACAGAGAUCCACGAUCAGAUCAGCGGGAUGGCUCGGUGUCCAUACAACCCCCUCCACAACUCCACCGCCCUCAUCACCUCCAGUGGGGAGCUUUACGCCGCCACGGCCAUGGACUUCUCUGGGCGAGACCCCGCCAUCUACCGCAGCCUGGGCGGCCUGCCACCGCUGCGCACUGCCCAGUACAACUCCAAGUGGCUGAACGAGCCCAACUUCGUCUCCUCCUACGACAUCGGCAACUUCACCUACUUCUUCUUCCGGGAAAACGCAGUGGAGCAUGACUGUGGUCGGACGGUGUUUUCCCGCGCAGGGCGUGUAUGUAAGAACGACAUCGGCGGUCGCUUCCUUCUCGAGGACACGUGGACGACUUUCAUGAAGGCCAGGCUGAACUGCUCCCGACCGGGAGAAAUCCCCUUCAACUACAACGAGCUGCAGGGAACCUUUUACCUACCUGAGCUGGAGCUGCUCUACGGCAUUUUCACUACCAACGUAAACAGCAUUGCUGCGUCUGCGGUGUGUGCCUUCAAUCUCAGUGCCAUAGCACAGGUUUUCAACGGGCCCUUCAAGUACCAGGAGAACUCGCGGUCAGCGUGGCUGCCCUACCCCAACCCCAACCCAGACUUUCAGUGCGGCACCAUUGACUCCGGCUCCUACGUGAACCUGACUGAAAGAAACCUGCAGGAUGCUCAGAAGUUUUUGCUGAUGCAUGAGGUGGUCCAACCCGUGGUUCCCGUGCCCUACUUCAUGGAGGACAACGUGCGGUUCACUCACGUGGCGGUGGACGUGGUGCAGGGGAAGGACAUGCUGUUUCACAUCAUAUACUUGGCCACGGAUUACGGUACUAUCAGGAAAGUGCUUUCCCCUCUCAAUCAGUCCACGGGGAGCUGCCUGUUGGAGGAGAUCGAAUUGUUCCCGCCCAGGAAGAGGCAGCCGAUCCGAAGCCUGCUGAUCCUGCACAGCCGCAGCGAGCUUUAUGUGGGUGUGAGAGACCAGGUCAUCAAGAUCCCGCUCAAGAGAUGCAGCUACCACAAGAGCAGAGAAGCCUGUGUGGGGGCCAGAGACCCGUACUGUGGUUGGGACCUGUUGCUGAAGAAAUGCACCACACUGGAGGAAAGUGUCAGGAUGAGCCAAUGGGAGCAGAGCAUCACAAAAUGCCCCAUCCGUAAUGUGACUGUUGAUGGAAGCUUUGGCGCCUGGUCAGGCUGGUCCACGUGUAGUCACAAUGAUGGCGGCAGCGCGGGGUCCUGUCUGUGUCGGACGCGAGCCUGUGAUAGCCCUGCCCCUCAGUGUGGAGGCCAGCAUUGCUACGGCAUCAGCGUGGAGGUCGCAAACUGCUCCAGAAAUGGAGCCUGGACCCCCUGGACUUCCUGGUCUCCCUGCAGCACCAGCUGCGGCAUCGGCUUCCAGGUCCGUCAACGCUCCUGCAGCAACCCAACCCCUCGCCACGGCGGACGAGUGUGUGUGGGCCAGAACCGCGAGGAGAGGUACUGUAAUGAACACCUGCCCUGCCCGCCGCACGUGUACUGGUCGGCCUGGUCGGCAUGGGAACGCUGCACCGUGCCCUGCGGCGGAGGCAUCCAGUCACGACGCAGAACCUGUGAGAACGGCAACGACUGUCCCGGGUGUGGUCAGGAGUACCAGUCGUGCAACACCCUGCCGUGUCCCGACCUGAAGAAGACGACGCCCUGGACCCCCUGGACGCCCGUCAACAUCUCCGACAACGGCGGGCACUACGAGCAGCGCUUCCGCUACACCUGCAAAGCUCGAAUCCCGGAUCCAAGCCUGCUGGAGGUGGGCCGGCAGAGGAUCGAGAUGCGCUACUGCUCCAGCGACGGAUCCACCGGCUGCUCCACUGACGGAGAGGUGCUUCGCCUCGGGAGGAUCUCAGGCCACACGGUGAACGGUGGCUGGUCGUCCUGGAGCUCCUGGUCCCAGUGCAGCAGAGACUGCAGCCGGGGGAUCCGCAGCCGAAAGAGGACCUGCAGUAACCCAGAACCCAAGCACGGAGGUCAGACCUGCCUGGGGCCGCCACAGGAGUAUCAGGAGUGUAACAUCACCCCUUGUCCAGUGGACGGCAGCUGGUCAUGCUGGUCUUCAUGGUCCAAGUGCUCUGUGACGUGCGGAGGGGGAUACUACAUGAGGACGCGCACCUGCAACAACCCCCCGCCAGCUUACGGAGGGGACAUCUGCCUGGGCCUGCACACUGAGGAGGCGCUGUGCAACACACAAUCCUGUCCAGAGAGCUGGUCCAGCUGGUCCGAGUGGUCCCACUGCGACUCCAACGGCGCCCAGAUGCGUGUGCGUCACUGUGAUGUCCUGUUCCCCACUGGAAACCAGUGCACGGGAAACAACAGCGAGAACAGGCCAUGCUCCCCUGACUCCAAUUUUAUACCAGAAGUCUCGAUCGCACGCUCCAGUCAGGAGGAGAGGCGCUGUGGAGACUUCAACCUCUUCCACAUGAUCGCCGUGGGGCUCAGCAGCUCCAUCCUCGGCUGUCUGGUCACCCUGCUGGUCUACUCGUACUGCCAGCGCUACCAGCAGCAGUCUCACGACGCCACCGUCAUCCACCCCAUCUCAGCGGCGCCGCUCAACACCAGCAUCACCAACCACAUCAACAAGCUGGACAAAUACGACUCGGUGGAAGCCAUCAAGCCCGAUGUGUCGGUACUCUUGCCCUUGGACGACCCCGCCAUGCACCAGCCUCUCUCUGCUAACAUGGGGGUGUCCAUGCGUGGCCUGGAGAUUUUCUACUAACCUCUGACCUCUACAACAUCUCGCCUCUUGACCCUCCCCCAACAACUCUUUGACCCCCACCACUACUACUUCCUCCUCCCCACCGUGCCCCGCCCUUCCACUUCCUGUGGCACUUCCUGUGUGUGGCAGGCCUUCAACAAAAACAAUCUGAUUCUGGAGGAAAGAAAUAAAUACUUCAACCCUCAGCUUGCCGGGAAGACCUAUACCAAUGCAUACUUCACUGACCUCAACACCUAUGAUGACUAUUAAGCCUUGAUUCGUCAGUUUCAGACUCCAUACCAUAGCGGGCACGCCAACCCUAUCAUCCAUUUUGACUGUAUUCUUUUCUUUGUGCUUUGUAUUGAGAUUCGUGACACCAUGCGUGGGAUAGUCCCACUCUCAGACUCUAUGGCAGCUGGUAUGUAAUGAAAACACAGACACACAGUGUUGCCAACAGAGUGAAAUGCCCACUUUCUCUCAGGUGCCUUGGGGUACACUUGGAAAGCUCAAUUUUUUGGGGGCAAAUCUUGCCUUGACUCUCUCUGAGAAACGGACAACUGGAUUACCCAAUGUGGACAAAAACGGGGAAACUCAAAGAGACUGUGGGAAAUGUGAUCCCCUUUUAACUUUCCUGUGACGCCUCUAAAAUAGACCUGUAUUUGUAAUGAUGGGAAAUAACCACAAAACCGCUUUGCAUGACUUCAUCUGACGUGUUUUUCUCUGCUGUUCUGUUUCGUUUUUUGCAUGGUUGAUCGCAUUCCAGGGUUUGGGGACUUGCAAGCAGCGUUUUUUUUUGCUGGUCUUAGGUUCAGGACUGGUUUUGGAAGUCAUAAAAACAAAGACUUUGGUGAUGCUUGAUGGUUUUUACCAUUUACUGCUGCAGCAAUCUCCAGAUGGAUCAAUAUCCACCCCCAGUCCUAGAAUCAGGAUGUAGAUAUUUGAAGUCUGUGGUCAAGUUUGUCCACUUUUUCUUUUCUUUUCUUUUUUGUUACAGGAUCUAGCAGCUAGCAGUGAUUGAACUUACAGUGUACCAUAUCUUUGGCUUUCUUUUUUUUUAAUUUUAUUAUUUUUGUUGCUUUUAAAACUACAUAUGUUUUGUACAGGAUGUUAAGUUUGAAGCCUAUGUCUGUAGUUUUUUCUAAAUACAUUUAUUCAAUGUCGCAAGUGUUUAAAGAAUAAAACAUUUCCUUUUGAAAAGAAAAAAAGUUUAUGUGCAUUCUGACAAGUAAUCAGGAGUAUUCAUAUCAGCCUACAUCAAGUUCAGUCUUUGUCACCGUACUUUUUUAUAUUUUUUGUAAAAAAAAAAAUAAUGUUUUUGAAUUUUGAUAGUGUUCGCUAUUCCUUUCGCUUCUGAGUUAAAUAUGUAACUUGUGAGAGCAGGAUGUUAAUGGCAUUUUCUGUACAGAUGGAGCGUACUCUUCUGAACCCCGACUGGAGUGCUACCCAUAUAUUAUGAGAUGAAAUCCCUUCAUCACAUUGAGAUAUUUCUGUUCAGAGUGUAUAACCAAAUAUUAGGUUAUUCAAUGGUUCAGUUGCAACUAACUCUUUUUACAUGUUUGCUUGUGUUACUGUGCAUAAAUUAAAAACUGCUUCGUACACAACAGACUUGUCAGAGUGUGAGUUAUGCAGAUUCAUUUUUAGAAUAUCUCAUUUGUAAAGCGUUGAUGCCUUCGAUCUCGUAAAAUUUGACUCUCUCUGCAGCUCUUGUGAAUGACCUGAAGGUGACUUCAACUAGAGUGAAAGCAGUUACAAGUGUGGGACGCUUCUGUCCUGUGUGGUUUGCUCUGACAAAUUUGGAGACUUUUAUGUUCCUCGAGCAAAGUACUGUAAAACCACAGCGCGGCGAGCACGGACCAGCACUUCAUAAAUCACUCAAAACCAGCCCGAUUUUUAAAGGAGUCUUCAGCACGGCCCUGCAGUGACAAAUGGCAUCAGCGGCAGUGGAAGGAUACCUGAAGGAUACAAAUCGCGCAAGGCAGCAGGGUAAAGGUGGAGGGGGGGCGCCGUCUGAAGUCCAAACUCUAAUCUGUAUGAUGGCGUGUAACACCACACACUGUGCUGUUCUCCAUCAACCUUCAACCUGACGUCCCAUCUGUGUGCUGAGGGUAAUGGAAGGGGGUGUUAUUAAUCACCCCGCUGUUUGGUCGGUUGGAGGUGAGGAGAGGGGGGGAGGGAGGGUGCUGAUCCAGCCCAAUGUACGGCCCAGCGCUGUCUGGCUCCAGAGAAUCAAUCCAUCUACCUUGACUUCAUUCUUACUACCUGUGAAAGCAACGCAGACACACAGAUGCAUGUACAGUAUAUGCACAUACUGUACAGGGACGAGAGGACAGCACAUGCAAGGCUCAACAAUAAGGAUUGCCUGAUUUGCCGGGGCAAGUAAAAUGCAACUUUGGGCUAGUAAGUCUAGCAAAAAAAAGAAUUAAACAGUUUUUUCCGGAGCUGAUGAUGAAUGUUUUGUUGCUUCGCAUCUAUGACACGCUGUGUCCUUGUUCUGGUUCAUUUGCUUAAAUAAAGAUUAAACAUGACAA